Xyrichtys novacula (pearly razorfish) is the source of this 1458-nucleotide non-coding RNA. Lineage: Eukaryota; Metazoa; Chordata; Actinopteri; Labriformes; Labridae. The record is from the annotation of a GenBank genome assembly.
CCUGUUUCUUCGCUGGUUCGUUGUGUGUCUGUAUGUCAAGUUUAGUUUACGCUUGUCUCCCCAGUGAGUCUCCAUGUGGCUUUUUUCCCAGGGCCUUUUUGUUGAUUUUGCCUUGGGGAUUUUCAAGUGGAACAUUAUAAGUGAGUUUUUGUUGCUUUUUAUUUAGUUCAUUUUUAAGAAAUCAUUUUUGUUCUGCAUUUGGGCCCUUUCCUUUUUGUUUAACUCCAAACCGUGACAAAAACAUUGUAGAUAUGUUGUAAGUGUUUCAUCAUAAUUGCCUUUUUUAUAUUAAUUAUUUUAAUUUAUGUAUAUCAUUUAUUUUGUGUUUCUUUUGAUCUUAAUCAAUUUUUUGUCGUGUUUUCUUUUUUUCGUCUUCCAGACCUCUUUUGAUGCUCGUGCCAGAUUCCUCAUCCUCACCAGGACAUCCAUAUUUACUUGUUCUGUCUUCCGAGCCUGAUUUCCUGACAACAUAACCCAAGAAUGCACUGCUCUACAACGGCCAACAUUUUAGUGAUGGGAGCCGAAGCUUCCUCUGAGGCACCACAGAGGAAGAGUUCCCGCUCCAAAUACUAUUACAAUACUUACAAGCGGACUGGUCAGUGAUAUAGGAAGUUAGAAGGUGAGAAACUUUUCAACAAGUUUCAACUCUCACCCAGAUGAUCAUAAUACCUGUUAAAAGGUAGAAUUCAUAAAAAACGCUGCCUUUCAGGUGUAUCUUAAUACUUGGGAUGCUUGAGAAAACGGCAAAAGGUUAUAGAAAGCAUUACGUCUUGCCUCUUUUAUUGCAAAUGCCACCUUCUGAAUGUAGAGAUGCAGUUUUUAAACAUUAUUUCUGUUUACAAGAAUUGUAUGCACAGAAAAAAAAGACAUUAUCAGAGGCUGCUCUUGUAGUGAACUGCUGCUUGCUUCAUCUUUAUCGUACCUACCCUGCAGCGGUGGCUAGAAGCAUCAAAAGCAGCCGGAUAGAAAUCAUCUCUCUUGUUUCUUGUGGUCAUUUUUGUAGGUCAUAAAGAGCCGUCAAAUUUGAUUUUUGUGUUUCAUAACCAGCUUAAAACUCCCCAUGGGAGCUUUAACGUUUUAAAGUGGAAAAUAUGAUUUUUAAAAGUACAGCAGCAGAGUUUCCAGUGAUAUGAACUUGAUUUUCUGUCACACAAAAAAAAGAAAAAGGAGAAUUAAUAAAGUAAAACAUCUCAGCAUCAGAUCCAAUCAUUUCCUCAUGUACUGCUGGAGUAGAUUUCUAAGACCACCUGUCUUCUUCUUCUAGUCAAUCCUCUGAAACCCUUUCACCUGAAGUGGACUAAUGGAGGCCAUGUCAUGCACGCUACAGUGGGACCGCUCUUCCCUUCACAAUCCGCCCUGACCCCUGUGCCGGCCCAGCAGAGGUCAGGAUUAGGAGGUCGUCAGGAUUAGGAGUCACAGCUGAAAAACAACCUCUUUCCUAGUCCCUCAGCAACAGGC